CCUACGGGAGGCAGCAGUGGGGAAUAUUGGACAAUGGGCGAAAGCCUGAUCCAGCCAUGCCGCGUGUGUGAAGAAGGCCUUCGGGUUGUAAAGCACUUUCAGUGGGGAAGAAAGCCUUGGGGCUAAUACCCUCGAGGAAGGACAUCACCCACAGAAGAAGCACCGGCUAACUCCGUGCCAGCAGCCGCGGUAAUACGGAGGGUGCGGGCGUUAAUCGGAAUUACUGGGCGUAAAGCGCGCGUAGGCGGUCUGAUAAGCCGGUUGUGAAAGCCCCGGGCUCAACCUGGGAACGGCAUCCGGAACUGUCAGGCUAGAGUGCAGGAGAGGAAGGUAGAAUUCCCGGUGUAGCGGUGAAAUGCGUAGAGAUCGGGAGGAAUACCAGUGGCGAAGGCGGCCUUCUGGACUGACACUGACGCUGAGGUGCGAAAGCGUGGGUAGCAAACAGGAUUAGAUACCCCAGUAGUC
Molecule: ribosomal RNA, 465 nt
Filed under: Vreelandella stevensii
Lineage: Bacteria; Pseudomonadati; Pseudomonadota; Gammaproteobacteria; Oceanospirillales; Halomonadaceae
Description: partial 16S ribosomal RNA
Rfam family: Bacterial small subunit ribosomal RNA
Source: RNAcentral